RNAcentral lists this ribosomal RNA (406 nucleotides) under uncultured prokaryote. Its description in RNAcentral is "bacterial SSU rRNA". It matches the Rfam family "Bacterial small subunit ribosomal RNA", at positions 355 to 776 of the family's 1533-position model. The record is from RNAcentral. RNAcentral also lists the same sequence under 1 other name.
UGGGGGAUAUUGCACAAUGGAGGAAACUCUGAUGCAGCAACGCCGCGUGAGGGAAGAAGGUCUUCGGAUUGUAAACCUAAGUUGUCAGGGACGAACAAAUGACGGUACCUGAAAAGAAAGCUCCGGCUAACUACGUGCCAGCAGCCGCGGUAAUACGUAGGGAGCGAGCGUUGUCCGGAUUUACUGGGUGUAAAGGGUGCGUAGGCGGGUUUGCAAGUCAGACGUGAAAUACCGAAGCUUAACUUCGGGGCUGCGUUUGAAACUGUAGAUCUUGAGUGAAGUAGAGGUAAGCGGAAUUCCUAGUGUAGCGGUGAAAUGCGUAGAUAUUAGGAGGAACACCAGUGGCGAAGGCGGCUUACUGGGCUUUAACUGACGCUGAGGCACGAAAGCAUGGGGAGCAAACAGG